Galeopterus variegatus (Sunda flying lemur) is the source of this 1671-nucleotide long non-coding RNA. RefSeq lists it as uncharacterized. The record is from RefSeq and is a predicted model, not a curated record. The transcript has 2 exons. Lineage: Eukaryota; Metazoa; Chordata; Mammalia; Dermoptera; Cynocephalidae.
AUAGGAAAGGGCUGUGGUGCCAGUGCCAUUUAAAAGCACAUGACUUGACUGAGAGGCAGACCUGCUAAGCAGCAGGAAGCCAUUCACUGCAGCCUGUAAUAACAAGAACAUCAAAAAGUCCUAGAAAGCUUGGUGCGUGACAAUGGAUGAGCUCUACCCUAGAGUACCAGGCAUGCCUAUUAGAUGCACUGCGAGACCUCAGGAAAGCAAAAUGGGAUAUUCCCUCUGACUGGAACAGGGAAUCAUUCUAUUUAAAAUGACAACUGUCAUUUAAUAUUCAUUGAGCAGCCACCAUGUUCUAAGUGCCAUAUGAAGCAUCGAUGAGACUUGACACUUGAAAAGAAGAGAUGAGUUUGUACUGGAACCAGUUACUGCUGACGCUUGAUUUGAUAACUGUGUGGACAGGGGUGGAAAGGAUUCUUGGUGCUCUAACUUUUGCCAACUGAGGAGAAUGCUAUGCGGAUUGCCAACAGGUGAUCCUGAAAAACCAUUUACGAUAUUCAAUUAACAAUAAUUAAGGCACUCAGUGGGAAGGUCCUCACUGACUUGCUAAGUAGCGAAAAUUGGUACUUGGCAUUCCCAGUGGAUGAGAGAAAAGAUAAUAAUAAGUACCCCAAAUGUAAAGAUAAUCGAAAUGAAACCAAUUAUGGCUAAAUUAUAUUACGCAAAUAGAAGCACAAGUUGAAUCAGAAAUAUUUCAGUUUUUGACAAGAAAUAUGAAAAAGAGAUAUAAUAACAUUUUAGCUAUUAAUUGAUCAUCUAAUCUAGUUUAGUUCUGGAAAGAGAACUGGUUUAUAAACCUUUAAGUUUUAUAUAUGUUGAUAAGGGACCACAGUCUGUUAUAAUAAUCUCAUAUUUUUAGGAGCUAUUAAAGCCUAGUUUUCUGUUAAUAUAGUUAAUAAUGACCAUAAUCGAUUCUAUUACCAAUAGUCAUAUUAAGUCCAUCUUUUCACGAUCACAUACUCACAAAAUAUCAAUGCUAAUUUGAUUUACUAUAUUCAACUUUACUAACUUUAAACUAUUUUCCACCAGCUACUUUUCUAUAGCACUAAAAAAAAAUAUUUUUAACAGCAAGAUCAAGGGUUCUGAUUCCCAUACUGGCCAGCUGCCAUAAAAAAAAAAAAAGAUUUUUUCAAAACUUCUUUAUAGUUUUUUUUUCUCACCUACUCUCUUACUAUCCUUCACUUCUCCAUCAAUUUCUCCUCCCCGAUAUAUCUGAAAUUAUAAAAUCAGCUUUAGAAUUAUAAUGAUCCCCCAAUAUCCAAUUAAGGUGUAAGUCAGUCAAGGGUGGCCUGUAUAUGCUUGUGAAGCAGUAAAUCUAAAGCAUCGAAGACUCUUUAGACUUCAUCUAAUCCACCCUCCCCAUUAGUAUGUGAAUAUGUGUAUAUCCAUAUUUUAAAUUCACUAAAAUUUAAGUCUAAAGACCAAACCCAGGCUGAUUUCUGGCAAGGAAAAAACAAUUAAUGCAUUCAUCAUUAUUCAUGCAGGCAUCAAUAAAAGUUCUCUUUCAAAUCCUCUGGUCUUUUCUUCUGUAUGUUCCAAUCUCUGUCAGCUCCAAAAGGUCUUUGCUUUUUAAAAUUUUAUAAGUAUGUCUGAACAAUAGUCUCAUAUUUAUUGUCAGAAAGCUAAGCUCAAUUAAUCUUUUCAAAUGAAAACAACUAUGGAAAAGCA